AGUCAAUCCACCUUUUCUUUCCUUGUUUGUUUAACACAGGUGAUGGGGGGUGUUUAUGAAUGAUCAUUCCCAUCUUUCAAUGUUCUCAAUCUAAAAUUUGCUAAGUUAGCAUUGGAGAAACUAACAGCUAACAGGGGGAAAUUAAAAGACAAGGAAAAAAAAUAAACAAAAUGGGACGUGAUUGUCUCAAAUUGAAGCUAUGAUGGGUGUAACAGUCCUGCAAUAUACACCUUUGAGCUUGUGUAAGACUUUGGAUUCCAUAAGCAAAAAUGCCAGAAUGUAGAGUGGAUUGAUAUACUGUUAUGUUUUGUGAUUACAGUACAAGAUCGCUUGCCUUUGUUGGUGGUAAACUGGUAGGAUAUAUUGGUUUAUGUUAAUCCAAGUCUUGUGAAUUGUUGAUUUUUUUGCUGAUUUUGACCAUCAAUUGCUAAGGUUAUUAACAUCUUUAUAAUGGAAGCUACUAUCUAAUGUCCAGGAAAUGUAUAUGGACAUUUGUCUUUUGUGG
RNAcentral lists this unclassified non-coding RNA (505 nucleotides) under Hevea brasiliensis (rubber tree). The record is from RNAcentral. Lineage: Eukaryota; Viridiplantae; Streptophyta; Magnoliopsida; Malpighiales; Euphorbiaceae.